GGCGGAAUGUAGUCGUGGCAUCAAAGUCGGUUUGUCAUAGGUCAUAACGUAACUAUCACAGCCAGCUUUGAUGAGCACGACUUCAUCUGU
This is a non-coding RNA of Bombyx mori (domestic silkworm), 90 nucleotides long. NCBI's taxonomy places the organism in Eukaryota, Metazoa, Arthropoda, Insecta, Lepidoptera, Bombycidae. The record is from RefSeq and is marked provisional.